UAAAUGUUAAUUUUUUAUUUGUUGGUAUUGCAUAUCAUUUAAGGAAAAUUUUAUUAAAAUAAAAUAUAGAAUUAAAAGGUAGAAAAUUUUUUGUUUUUAUUGUUUCAUAAUAAAAAUUAAAAAUUUUAGGGUUGAAAAGUCGACUUUUAAGAUAUCUGUAUAAAAAGUUUUAUUAGAAAUUUAUAAAAGAUUUUAAGUUAUUUGUAAAUAGUAAAAGUUGAAGUAUUUUAAUUUUUAGUUUUAUAACUGUUUAUAAAUUUUUUAAUUAAAAAUUUUUUAAAGUAAUUGUUAAAUUUUUAACAAUUUUAUUAUUUUAAAAUUAGUAAAUUUUUUAAAUUUAAUUUUUUAUUUUAAUAUAAUAAAAUAACUAAAAAAUUAAUCAAAUGUUUUUUAAAGACUUAGACUUUUAUAUAAAGUUUGCUUCUGCCCAGUGAUUAUUAAAUGGCAGUCUUAGCGUGAGGACAUUAAGGUAGCAAAAUAAUUUGUGCUUUUAUUGAGUUCCAGUAUGAAUGAAGUUAUUGGUUAAUUAUUUUUUUAUUUUUAUAUUGAAUUUUAUAUAAGUAUAAAAAAAUACUUUUAUAGUUAUACAAAGAUAAGUCUUCGGAAAUUCUUUUAUAAAUUUAAUUUAAUAUAAAUUAAAUUUAUAAAUUUUCUAGGGCAGAAUUUUAUAUAAUUAAUAUUUCUAUUUAUAAUAUAAAGAAUUACUCCGGAGUUAACAGAAAAUCAUACCUAAUCUAGUUCUUAUAGUAAGGUAAGUUUUACAUCGAUGUUGUAUUUAAGUUUUUUAAAAAAGGAGAAGAUUUAAUUAUUAAGACUGUUCUUCUUUUAUUUAAUUUAACGUGAUAUUAGUUUAAUUCAUUGUGAGAUAGAAUUGUUUAUCUUGAUAAUUAUUAAGAAAUAAUUUUAAUAGUACGAAAGGAAAAUUAAAAAAAGUUUUAAACUUUAAAAGGUCUACCCUUA
Molecule: ribosomal RNA, 960 nt
Filed under: Ancylostoma ceylanicum
Lineage: Eukaryota; Metazoa; Nematoda; Chromadorea; Rhabditida; Ancylostomatidae
Description: 16S ribosomal RNA
Source: RNAcentral